This is a long non-coding RNA of Camelus dromedarius (Arabian camel), 612 nucleotides long. RefSeq lists it as uncharacterized. The record is from RefSeq and is a predicted model, not a curated record. Lineage: Eukaryota; Metazoa; Chordata; Mammalia; Artiodactyla; Camelidae. The transcript is spliced from 3 exons.
CUAAGUGCACUCUAUAGUUAAGAAAAAUCGUGACUCAGAAAGGUUCACGAUUAGCCCAAAGAAACCCAGUGGAGAGGCCCGUUUCGGGAAAUCUCACGAAGUCUUCGCGGCCCGUUUCAUAGAACUGGGGACUAGACGUCAUCAUACACUUCCAAUAGCAACUGAUAAGCCCAAAAGACACAACGGUUACCCAGUUUUCCUGGGAAAUUUUGUGGAUUCCGGGAUCCGCAGAGCGGACAGACAGGAGCGUGCAAUUCACUAGUCGACCAGCCAGGAUAACCCCACCACAUCAGAGCAGGAGGAGGAACGCAGCUGCAGACAAGCCGGCUCCACUUCCGGCCGCCCCGCCCCAGAGGGCGGGGCCUCCAGGCCGGGCCACGCCCCCGAGGCUACAGCUCUGGGCUGUUCUUAGGCAAGGAUUCCACUACGGUUACUGUCUCGGCAGGCGGUCAGAGCCGUCAGACCUGCCCAGCUCUCAGACUGGAGGGGCUCCUCAGGGCGAGCAGAGGAGGAGAGCACGGAAAAGAAGCGAUGCGGCCCUUCACAGCCCAGGGCUCAGGAUUCCUUCCAGGAUAAAUUCAUGGAUGUUGAAUGAGUUCUGCACUCUGGUGC